CACAAUGAUGUGCAUAUGUCGACCAACUUUUCUGGGGACAGUAAAGUUACUUUGGUUGGAUGCGAAGAGAACACAGCGGAGUGUGGUGCACAAUUGAAUUCUUCUAGUAUGGAUAUGCACCACAAUGACAGUGGCCCAGUAUUGACAUCUGAUGACAAGCCGCCAGAAUCAAUCAACGAAGAUUCUGCAGCUAUGUCCUCCUUAAAUGUUAAGAAAGAGGUUAAUGCGGCAGGGGAAGGAGCUGACCUGUCUCGGGAGCUAAACUGGGCCAGAGAUGUUAAUGCCCCAAAUUUGAAACUCAAAGCAAGAAGUCCAUUCUCGGAUGAACAUAAGAUUAUUGGCUGCGCUAAUGAAACAACUAUAGAGAAUGGUGUAGUAGUUUUAGCAGAAGCU
RNAcentral lists this long non-coding RNA (393 nucleotides) under Panax ginseng (ginseng). RNAcentral describes it as "long non-coding RNA (PGIN_LNC013119)". Lineage: Eukaryota; Viridiplantae; Streptophyta; Magnoliopsida; Apiales; Araliaceae. The record is from RNAcentral.